Non-coding RNA from Acanthosepion pharaonis, 95 nucleotides. The record is from the annotation of a GenBank genome assembly. Lineage: Eukaryota; Metazoa; Mollusca; Cephalopoda; Sepiida; Sepiidae.
GAAACACCGGUUCCCGUACAAUCACCGAAGUUAAGCAACGUCGAUCCUGGCUAGUUUCACGAUGGGUAACAGCUUGCGAAUACCAGGUACUGUAA